CCUGGCGGCACUAGCGCGGUGGUCCCACCUGACCCCAUGCCGAACUCAGAAGUGAACCGCCUUAGCGCCGAUGGUAGUGUGGGGUCUCCCCAUGUGAGAGUAGGGAACUGCCAGGC
This 116-nucleotide ribosomal RNA is filed under the name Klebsiella pneumoniae. The record is from RNAcentral. Lineage: Bacteria; Pseudomonadati; Pseudomonadota; Gammaproteobacteria; Enterobacterales; Enterobacteriaceae.